Molecule: long non-coding RNA, 530 nt
Filed under: Theobroma cacao (cacao)
Lineage: Eukaryota; Viridiplantae; Streptophyta; Magnoliopsida; Malvales; Malvaceae
Description: long non-coding RNA (TCAC_LNC001142)
Source: RNAcentral
CCGGCCAAAGCAAGAACAAAGGAAGAAAAAGGAAGAACAAAACCCUAGGUAGAAAAAUUCAAGGGAAAAGUGUGAAAAUUCAAGGAAACAAGUGAAAAAAUGUUAGAUUUUUUCAAUUAAGCUUGAGAUCUCUCUUUCUUAAGCAUUUUUUCUUAUUUUCCAUGGUUGAAUCACAUGAAAUCAUGAUGAAUCCCUUGCUGGCUGAACACUUAGAGGGAGGUUUUGAUGCUUGAUUUGGUUAGAUUUCAAUGUAUUUUAGUGUUUUUAGUUAGUUAGUGAUGUGUAGCAUGAAAAGCCAACAAGAAAAAUUCACUUCCUCCCAUCACCCAUCAUUGGCCGAAUUCUCCAUGUGGAAUAUUGAUGAUGAUUUUGAUUUUAUUUCAAGUAAAUUGGUUAGGAAAUGAUGAAUUACAGUGAGAAAAUCAAGUAAGAAAAAUCAUAGUAUUGAUGAACCCACCAUGGCCGAAAUUUCCAAGAGAAAAUGUGAAGAUGAUUUUGCCAUAUUUCAAGUUAUUUAACUUGUGUUUGAU